Molecule: long non-coding RNA, 771 nt
Organism: Heterocephalus glaber (naked mole-rat)
Lineage: Eukaryota; Metazoa; Chordata; Mammalia; Rodentia; Bathyergidae
Source: Ensembl
GGGAGGGAAAUCUACCCUUCCAGGACACACCCCCAGUGACCCAUCAGUGGACUAAUCCACUGUGCAUCACACCUCCCAAAAGCCCGACCUAUGAGCACAUGAGGCUGUAGGGGGACAUCUAGAUAAAAACCAUAAUGUUAUUCUCUGUUGGGGAUAAGGAAAGGAAGUAGUUGGUUGUAUAAUGGGGAAGGGCUCUUUGGCUAACAUGUUUCUUUUAAACACUUUCCUCCCAGUCUCUUAUUUCUAGAACAAUACUACCUGUCUACUUUUAGAAGGACCACAUGUCUCCAAUUUCUGAUCUCUUCCAAGCUUCCACUGCCUGGAUCAACUUGCAUCUUAAUUUCUUCUCCUGCUAUAAGCCUAUGCUGAAGGACAAACUGUACUAUCCCUUCACUGCAAGCAGAGGACUGCGAUUGCAGACCUGGGCAAAUGUGGGUGCAUAACGCUAGGAGGAUACAGGCCUGCAGACAACACCAGAGAGGCAUGCUCCCAUCCCAGCAGGGCAUGAUCAUCUUACCAUGGCUAGGAGGAAGAAAUGGGAAUGCAAAAAAACUUGUUUGUUUUAAAAUCUCCAAGGCUUUUUGCUAGAACCAAGUGUCAACAACAGUGUGCUAUCUGGUCCAAGAGCCUGCCUGAGGCCAUCAUCACCUGGCAGCUUUUUGCUUCCCUGUUUUAAUAUAGAUAAGUUAAAGACUGAUGCCUGACCAAAACAACACUUUUAACAAUUAAAAAUUUAAAUAAAGUAACUGGAAGGAGAGGCACUAAUGGGAC